Molecule: small nucleolar RNA, 107 nt
Organism: Zingiber officinale
Lineage: Eukaryota; Viridiplantae; Streptophyta; Magnoliopsida; Zingiberales; Zingiberaceae
Source: RefSeq, a predicted model, not a curated record
CGUCCAUGAUAUGGACAUUGUCUGAGCAUGUUGUUGAAUCUAUCACAUGCUUCAAAUAAUGAUUCAGAGGCUGAUUGUCUGAAGCUUGCUAUCAAAUUCCUUAUAUG